RNAcentral lists this long non-coding RNA (1497 nucleotides) under Homo sapiens (human). RNAcentral's name for it is "HSALNT0173184". Lineage: Eukaryota; Metazoa; Chordata; Mammalia; Primates; Hominidae. The record is from RNAcentral.
AAGCAGUGGAGAUGACAUCAGUAAGGUGAUAGAAUAUGAGUUUUCAACCCUCAUUCCCUUGUUCUUUCACAGAAAAAACACUGAUUUUGACAACCACCCAUAGAUGACAGUACGUUUUGGGAGGCCAGGAGUCCAGUGGUAAGGUCCCAGCAUACCACUGGAGCAAAACAUCUGAGAAUACACACGUUAAAGAAGGACUUUUUCAGAAAGCUGGAGAUGAAAGAACAACGAAACUUUACAAUGUCUAUGGUCCGUGCAGAGAUCAAGGUCUGUCAGAGACAUCUUUCCCUGUGGUUCCCUCAACUCCACAAGCCUUUGGGUCUUCAGAUUGAGAGGAGCAGAACAUGAGGUACUGAACUCAAGAGGUCUCACGUGCACUUGGACCUGAUUUACAUGACAAGGUUCUGGCCUGAUUCAGUAACAUGAUACAAUCUUAUGUGGGGUAUUGGGAGGUUGAGUAUGUAUUUUUCAUGGGGAAGAAUGUAAAUAAUCCAUGGAAUAAAAAAUAUGACUUUUAAAAUGUGGCCUCAGAAUCCUUUGCACUCCUCUCAUUAAGAAGUAAGGUCUAUGAGUUUCCCUUUGAAUUUGAGUGGGCUUUUGACUUCUUCAUUCAAUACUGCAAGUUUCAAGUGAUGUUAUGUGACUUCUAAAUCUAGAUUAUAAAAGGUCUUGCAGAUUUUGCAUAAUUUUUUUAAAUUACACAAAAAUCAUUUUUGCAUAAUUCUCCUUCCUGGAGCUUUCAUUCUUGUACAUUCCCUCCCAGAAUCUAGCCACCAUGCUGCGAGAAUUCCAAGCCUCACAGAGAGGGCCCGUGUAGGUUCAAAGUACUAGAGUCCCAGUUGAGACUGUCCUUGAGCCACCACACCCCGAAAAGCAGACUGUGGGUAGAGUUAAUAUUGGAAAUGUUUUCUCCAGUCUUAGUUGUCCCAGCCCCCGGCUUCUAGAGGUAUCUCCAGCUGUUUAAGAGAUCUCAACUGAGGUAGCAGAUAUGGUAAAGUUCUAAAAUGCCACUCCUAUUCUGUACACCCUAAUUUCCAAAUUCACAUAAUUUGUAACCAUAAUAAAGCAAUUGCAAUCAUGUACUACUAAAAUAUAGGAUAUUUUAAACACAGCAACUUUAAAAGAAGUAUUGACAUAUUUUGCUACAUUGAAGUCAUGCUCUCUGUAGCCAAGAGACUCUCUUUUCACUUCUUUUUAAUUAAACUCAUACUUCCUCCAACUCAUACUUGUGAAAUAUCAUUAUUUAUGAGUAUUGAGCAAAACAUUAUUCAAAACUACAUAUACAGCAUUUAUUCCUUUAAAUGGUCCAUGUCUUUUUGAAAACCUUCUUAGCUAGACCUUCCCUGUUUUCUAGUUAAAUUCCUGCUAAUCUAACCUAAACUAUCAGCAACAUCUCAAGGAUAACUAUGGAGGAAAUGUUCCACCUCUUGAAAUAAACAAGGAUAAAAGAAAAUUCAUCUUUGGCAUUUUUAACUCACUGUAAAAUUAAGUAUAUGG